Molecule: ribosomal RNA, 429 nt
Filed under: Chloroflexota bacterium
Lineage: Bacteria; Bacillati; Chloroflexota
Description: Chloroflexi bacterium partial 16S ribosomal RNA
Rfam family: Bacterial small subunit ribosomal RNA
Source: RNAcentral
UGGGGAAUAUUGCACAAUGGGCGCAAGCCUGAUGCAGCCAUGCCGCGUGUAUGAAGAAGGCCUUCGGGUUGUAAAGUACUUUCAGUCGGGAGGAAGGUGGUAAGGUUAAUAACCUUAUCAAUUGACGUUACCGACAGAAGAAGCACCGGCUAACUCCGUGCCAGCAGCCGCGGUAAUACGGAGGGUGCAAGCGUUAAUCGGAAUUACUGGGCGUAAAGCGCACGCAGGCGGUUGAUUGAGUCAGAUGUGAAAUCCCCGGGCUUAACCCGGGCAUUGCAUCUGAUACUGGUCAGCUAGAGUCGUGUAGAGGGGGGUAGAAUUCCGUGUGUAGCGGUGAAAUGCGUAGAGAUGUGGAGGAAAACCGGUGGCGAAGGCGGCCCCCUGGACAAAGACUGACGCACAGGUGCGAAAGCGUGGGGAGCAAACAGG